UCGGAGUCUGCAACUCGACUCCGUGAAGUCGGAAUCGCUAGUAAUCGUGGAUCAGAAUGCCACGGUGAAUACGUUCCCGGGCCUUGUACACACCGCCCGUCACACCAUGGGAGUGGGCUGCACCAGAAGUGGUUAGUUUAACCUUCGGGAGAACGAUCACCACGGUGUGGUUCAUGACUGGGGUGAAGUCGUAACAAGGUAGCCGUAGGGGAACCUGCGGCUGGAUCACCUCCUUACAAAACAGCUUA
RNAcentral lists this ribosomal RNA (248 nucleotides) under Idiomarina loihiensis. RNAcentral's name for it is "partial 16S ribosomal RNA". It matches the Rfam family "Bacterial small subunit ribosomal RNA", at positions 1298 to 1533 of the family's 1533-position model. The record is from RNAcentral. Lineage: Bacteria; Pseudomonadati; Pseudomonadota; Gammaproteobacteria; Alteromonadales; Idiomarinaceae.